Molecule: long non-coding RNA, 1964 nt
Filed under: Mytilus galloprovincialis (Mediterranean mussel)
Lineage: Eukaryota; Metazoa; Mollusca; Bivalvia; Mytilida; Mytilidae
Source: RNAcentral
CUUUAUAUUUUAAUCAUGCAUAAAGUAUCAACAAAUAAAUUUUGAAAGUGUAUGAAAUUGUUUUGCAAGUUAUACACUGUUCACACCUAUAGGGUCUACAAUAAUUGUAGACAACGAAAAACAAAGGAGGAUAACAGUGUCUUUUACCAUAUAGCAAGCAAGAAUCAACAAAUAUGUAAUAAUAUAUAGAACUGUUUUAAAAUAUUAUAGGAUUGAAGCACUCACUAUUCAUUCAUGAGUCUUACAAAUUAUUAAGCUUACUCAGAAAAGUUAAAUGUUGAAUAAACUCAGCAUGUGUUUUUAAGAAAACCACCAACCUUCGAUAGGAAUACUGACAAUCUUAGUCAAUUAAGAUUGGAGUCGAGUGCACCCUCACGAGCGGGAUUCGAGCUCACAACCUCAUUUAAUAUGAUAAUCUAAUGUAUUGUCUUUUCAUUCAUUGAAUUAACUUAUAUUGUAGUGUACAUGUAUUUGUGUUUUUACAGGAGUCUGAAGAGCCCCGAGGAUUGCUGGAGGAGUUAGGAUUUAUUACUGGGAGCUAAAUAGGAGAAAGACCUGAAGACAGAAGAUUAGAUAAUAUAAGCAGUGCAGCAUUUACAAUUAUUUGUUAUGUGAAUCUGGCCUUUUUACUUAACAUAUCAAAACUUAUUUUUGAUAAAUCAGUAUUUUUUAUGUCUGUCUUUUGACAACUUUGAUUUUAGCAUUUGAUGUAGGGUUCGUUUACAAUUUUUAACAAUGAUUACAUUUUCAAUGUAUAUAUAUUUGAAAUAGUGGCAGAUUCAAAGGAUAGAUACGCUAGCAAAAGCAUGAAGUUUGUAAGUUGUACAAACAAUACUGUUGCAUUUAGAGGGUUGUAUUGAGUUUUUGAAAAAAGAUAACAUAUUUGAUUCAAAAUCCAAUCAAAGAUGUUUCAAGAAUGUAGUUAAAUUCCUCAUGAUUUCAGUUUUAUCAAAAUAAUCUUGAUAAUAAAUUUACAUAUGAUUGAUAAAUUUGCAUAUGAUUGAAUAAAAUUUCCCAUGAAUGUAAGAAGGUGCAAUAAGGGCAUUAAUUAUCAAAUUUGUAAGCAGUUUGCAUUUUAAAAGCAACUUUAUCAUAGAGUGCCUGAAUAAGCAUAUACCAUACUUUUGUAAUUGGUUACCAAAACCAUGAAUGUCCCUUUGGUACCUUUUGCCUCUCCUCAAAAACUCAAAAACUCAAAAAAAAAAAACGUCAUUAAGCAAUUUCCAAUCAAUACCAGUACCGGUAGUUUAAAGCAUGACAUUCACUUUUAAAAAGUAACAACUUGUCUCCCUUAGUCAUGAGUCUUGUGAUGUCACAAUAAGUGAAUAAUGAUGUGACAGAAUCCCCAUUUUUAUGAAAUGUCGGAGAUUUUAUUCUUUUUUCUGAAAUGUAUCUAGGUAAAUAUCAAGUGCAGGCAGAAUCUUCUCGGACAACAAAAAAAAGUGCACUCAAUGGUAACAACUGACCAAUUUUCGUCUAAAAUAAACUAAUUAACAAUUUAAUUGAUAAUAAUUAGUUCAUAUUUGUGGUCUCUUAUUCUUAACAUUCAUGAUAGUUUUAAAAUUCAACAACUUCAGAAUUUUGAAGUGCCAACUAAGAGGGGACUCCGGGAUCAGGUGUUUUUAAGCUCGGGAUUUUAGGAUCUGGGAAUUCUUUUUUUCUAAUUUCAGGAUGUCAGGAUUUAGAUUUCUUUAAAUUCCAUACCUUGGGAUUUCAGGUUUUUAAGCCCAGGAUAUUGGGAUCAGGAACCCUCCAACCCCCCUCAAAUAAUGCCCUUAAUGCACCUGAUCCCUUACUGUGAUUUUUAGUGCAAGGUAUUUAAUUGUGAUUGUUGAAUGAUUAAAAGGUUGUGUUUUAAAGAUUGUAUGAAUAUUCCAAUCAAAUAAUUGUAAUUCUAGUCAAUGUUGAUUUUUAUUACAAUGAUAUAGACAAUAAGAUUAUAUAUUUCUAUAACUACAAUAAAC